GCCCAGACUCCUACGGGAGGCAGCAGUGGGGCCUCUUGCACAAUGGGGGCCACCCUGAUGCCGCGACGCCGCGUGCGUGAAGAAGUCUUUCGGUAUGUAACGCUCUCUCAGCAGGGCCGCCAAUGACGGUCCCUGACUAAGACGCCCCGGCUAACUCCGUGCCAGCAGCCGCGGUCCUACGUAGGGGGCCCGCGUUAUCCGGAUUUACUGGGUGGCAAGGGAGCGGAGCCGGCCAGACAAGUCAGAAGUGAAAGCCCAGGGCUCAACCCGGGGACUGCUUGUGAAACUGCCGGGCUGGAGGGCAGGAGAGGUAAGCGGAAUUCCUAGGGGAGCGGUGAAAUGCGGAGAUAUUAGGAGGAACACCAGUGGAGAAGGAGGCUUACGGGACGGUAACUGACGGGGAGGCUCGAAAGCGGGGGGAGCAAACAGGAUUAGAUACCCUAGUAC
This 447-nucleotide ribosomal RNA is filed under the name uncultured bacterium. RNAcentral's name for it is "bacterial SSU rRNA". It matches the Rfam family "Bacterial small subunit ribosomal RNA", at positions 329 to 793 of the family's 1533-position model. The record is from RNAcentral.